UUUAUAGAGAGUUUGAUCCUGGCUCAGGGUGAACGCUGGCGGCGCGCUUAAUGCAUGCAAGUCGAACGUGCCUUCGGGCAAGUGGCAGACGGCUGAGUAACGCGUGAGUAACACACCCUUCGGUGGGGUAUAGCCUCGGGAAACUGAGGGUAAUCCCGCAUACGAUCCCUUUACCCUGGUAUUGGGAUGAAAGCCUUCGGGCGCCGGAGGAGUGGCUCGCGUCCUAUCAGGUAGUUGGUGAGGUAACGGCUCACCAAGCCUAUGACGGGUAGCUGGUCUUAGAGGACGAUCAGCCAGAGGGGGACUGAGACACGGCCCCCACUCCUACGGGAGGCAGCAGCAGGGAAUUUUGGGCAAUGGACGAAAGUC
This 369-nucleotide ribosomal RNA is filed under the name Chloroflexota bacterium. RNAcentral's name for it is "bacterial SSU rRNA". It matches the Rfam family "Bacterial small subunit ribosomal RNA", at positions 1 to 383 of the family's 1533-position model. Lineage: Bacteria; Bacillati; Chloroflexota. The record is from RNAcentral.